RNAcentral lists this ribosomal RNA (682 nucleotides) under Klebsiella pneumoniae. RNAcentral describes it as "bacterial SSU rRNA". It matches the Rfam family "Bacterial small subunit ribosomal RNA", at positions 674 to 1356 of the family's 1533-position model. The record is from RNAcentral. Lineage: Bacteria; Pseudomonadati; Pseudomonadota; Gammaproteobacteria; Enterobacterales; Enterobacteriaceae.
UGUAGCGGUGAAAUGCGUAGAGAUCUGGAGGAAUACCGGUGGCGAAGGCGGCCCCUUGGACAAAGACUGACGCUCAGGUGCGAAAGCGUGGGGAGCAAACAGGAUUAGAUACCCCUGGUAGUGCACGCGUAAACGAUGUCGAUUUGGAGGUUGUGCCCUUGAGGCGUGGCUUCCGGAGCUAACGCGUUAAAUCGACCGCCUGGGGAGUACGGCCGCAAGGUUAAAACUCAAAUGAAUUGACGGGGGCCCGCACAAGCGGUGGAGCAUGUGGUUUAAUUCGAUGCAACGCGAAGAACCUUACCUGGUCUUGACAUCCACAGAACUUUCCAGAGAUGGAUUGGUGCCUUCGGGAACUGUGAGACAGGUGCUGCAUGGCUGUCGUCAGCUCGUGUUGUGAAAUGUUGGGUUAAGUCCCGCAACGAGCGCAACCCUUAUCCUUUGUUGCCAGCGGUUAGGCCGGGAACUCAAAGGAGACUGCCAGUGAUAAACUGGAGGAAGGUGGGGAUGACGUCAAGUCAUCAUGGCCCUUACGACCAGGGCUACACACGUGCUACAAUGGCAUAUACAAAGAGAAGCGACCUCGCGAGAGCAAGCGGACCUCAUAAAGUAUGUCGUAGUCCGGAUUGGAGUCUGCAACUCGACUCCAUGAAGUCGGAAUCGCUAGUAAUCGUAGAUCAGAAUG